Molecule: long non-coding RNA, 247 nt
Filed under: Lathyrus oleraceus (garden pea)
Lineage: Eukaryota; Viridiplantae; Streptophyta; Magnoliopsida; Fabales; Fabaceae
Description: Pisum sativum (pea) long non-coding RNA (PSAT_LNC022500)
Source: RNAcentral
AUGUGGAGAAAAUGAUUCAGAUUCAAACUGUGCAGCUACUCCAUCUAAGGAUGUUUUUGUUGCUCAGUAUGUUGAAGAUGUUGAUUGUGAAGUUUUUGGAGCUAUGCAAUUUUUAAUGAUCAAACCUUCGAAGACAGUAAAGAUCAAAACAAAUGCUUAAUUUAAUAUUGGGCCAGAAAGAGAAAUGUAUGUUUUUUCUAUUCUUCUUGAACAAGGAAGUUAACUGUAGCAAGUAUUCAAAAACACA